This is an RNA transcript of Hypomesus transpacificus, 2200 nucleotides long. It is a transcript of the gene named protein FAM104A, with no coding region annotated. The record is from RefSeq and is a predicted model, not a curated record. NCBI's taxonomy places the organism in Eukaryota, Metazoa, Chordata, Actinopteri, Osmeriformes, Osmeridae. The transcript is spliced from 4 exons.
UCAGUUUCAUGUAAACACAACAGCACCUAGCAGUGGUUCGGUUGUCACUUGAGUCAAAGGUUGAACAGCUAGAUUGGCUAGCUAAAGUGAUAGGGUAAAAACCGGCACAACGUUGUUCAGGCUGUAUUUCUUUACUCGUUGGUGUGUUGUAUCGCUGGAGACUUUGGCAUAUGAUGCAGUCAUCUGUUUGUCAAUUUUGGUCAGUGUUUGAGUCGGGAAAGCUAACGAGAUCUAAUAGUCUAGAUAGCUGCUAGCACUAGCUUGUUAGCUAGCUAGUUCUAGCUAACCAUCUACGCUAGCCAACGUUAGCUCAGUUUCUACUCAUACUGCUAGCUUGGAGUCUAGCUCACACAUCUUGAUAGAUAUCUUAGACAUCCCAGGUGUCCGUUUCUUGGUAGAUGUUGUAUCUAGCUACCGGUUACCAUACCUAUUGUCCCCGUUGGGCAUCCCAAAAACUAAGCUAGCUAACUUUAGCAAAGGUUGGCUAGCUCUAGUGCCAGCAGGACUGGACAACAAUAGCUAGCUAGUGGUUGGUUGACGGCUGAAUUUUUAAUCUAGCACUGGUUUAACAACGGUUGUUCCCAUGACAGUAAGCUUUCUUGAAUAAGGAAUCUCUCUGUCGGCCAGGACUCCGACCUCCAGUUUCCAGUUCACAGGAUUUCAUCUUGCACUGCAUUUAACAUUGUCAUAUGUUGACUGAAAACAGGAAGCGCCAGCGCAGCAGCGAAGAGGAGAAUGGCCAGCUGGUGCCUCAAGCCAAAAGGUCAAGCAGAGCUCACCCCCUCUCUCCUGAGCUGGGACGGGAUGCCUGGGACUCUGAGUCCUCCAACAGUGAAAGCAGUGGGAUAAGCAGUCCAGUGGAGAGCAGCAGCAGCAGCAGUCAGUGUGCCGUGGACUCCCAUGGAGGGGGGGCCCAGAGCCCCUGGACCCUGCAGUCCCCUCAGCUCAGCUCCCUCUGAGCUGGCCGGUCCUCUAAGCCUGGUCUCCUACCACCAGAUCAACCGGAUCCUCAGGGAGGCCCAUUUCCAGAGCCUGCAGAGCCGGGGCAAUUCCAGGGACACAUGAGCGCCCCCUCGUCCUCGCCGAGCGGGCCUCUCUGGGGGCAUAAGGACUUUGGCCCAGGCUUGCGAGAGCAUGACACGGUGGAUCACAUCGCUCAGCCCCACAACACCAUUCCCUGCUUCCGUGAUGUCCGACAGCCCCAGUUUUCUUUGCAUAUCUGUGGGAGAAGGCUGGUCCUUGGUGUAGAUAGGAAACCUAAACUUGGCUAAUCCGUAGAAAUGAGAGAGAAAGUAUCCAUCUUGUUAGCAAUAAUAACUAUUUGCUCCAAUUGAAUUGUUUUUUGUGUCUGACUUCUUUUUGGACCACCGUGGUUCACAUGCUUCUCGAAAAGCCUCCUCGGGGAGGUAUCGUUGCAGAGUCCCCUCUCAUCUGCGUCACACCGUGUGAUAGUAGGAGGGGCUGAAGAGUUGUUACCAAAUACUACUUGUAUGCUGGCCUAUUUGAACUGUUUAGUCUCUCUGUGGAGUUAAUGGUGGUAGACUAUCUACUGAAGUGCAUAAUGAAUCCAAUCUAAGAGGGAUUGGAUCACACUGGGAGGACCACACUUGGAUUUGUUUCCCAUUUUGAUUUGCUUCCAUGUUAUUACAGGGGCUCGACACGGCCAAUGGCUCCCCGUCUUUAUGCUCUCCCUGGAGAGGUGAUCCUAGUGGGUAAUGUACAGUGAUUUUCACCCUGGGUAUCUGCUUGUAGAGGGCUGUACUCAGUUCAGGGAGGUGGGCAUAUUCCUUUUGCCAUGUCAGGUUCGCAGCAUGGCUCCAGCCCAUUGUGAACAAACGACCACUACCUGCUGGCUUGGAAACGGAUAUAUUCUGUAUGACCCUGUCUGCACUGAUCAACCAGGUAAUAAGAGCACUGACCAUGAGGCUGUGCAUUUCUUCACCUUACCUCUACAGCCAGAUUCACAAUCUGGAUCCCCCUUUCCUGGUAGCAAAGCACUACUGCCCUCUCUCAAGACUGUAUUUGGUGUGCUAUGCUAUCGGAGAUCAAAAGCAUUUUGGGGGUGUUUUUUUCUUGAUGUUUUUUUUGUGUGUAUUUUGAAUUAUUGACGUUAUUACCUGCCAUUGAUAUUUGGGGUUUUAUUUUGUAAAUUCACCUACAUUUGAAAUGAAUAAAGAUAGAUGUUUUUCAAAUAUGUGAU